RNAcentral lists this ribosomal RNA (490 nucleotides) under uncultured bacterium. RNAcentral's name for it is "partial 16S ribosomal RNA". It matches the Rfam family "Bacterial small subunit ribosomal RNA", at positions 29 to 507 of the family's 1533-position model. The record is from RNAcentral.
AAUGAACGCUGGCGGCAUGCCUUACACAUGCAAGUCGAACGGCAGCAUGACCUAGCUUGCUAGGUUGAUGGCGAGUAGCGAACGGGUGAGUAAUGCAUCGGAACGUGCCUUUUAGUGGGGGAUAACGUAGCGAAAGUUACGCUAAUACCGCAUAUUCUCUGAGGAGGAAAGCAGGGGACCUUCGGGCCUUGCGCUAGAAGAGCGGCCGAUGUCGGAUUAGCUAGUUGGUGAGGUAAAGGCUCACCAAGGCAACGAUCCGUAGCGGGUCUGAGAGGAUGAUCCGCCACACUGGGACUGAGACACGGCCCAGACUCCUACGGGAGGCAGCAGUGGGGAAUUUUGGACAAUGGGCGCAAGCCUGAUCCAGCCAUGCCGCGUGAGUGAAGAAGGCCUUCGGGUUGUAAAGCUCUUUCGGCUGGGAAGAAAUCGCACCCUCUAAUACAGGGUGUGGAUGACGGUACCAGCAGAAGAAGCACCGGCUAACUACGUG